Molecule: ribosomal RNA, 815 nt
Filed under: uncultured organism
Description: bacterial SSU rRNA
Rfam family: Bacterial small subunit ribosomal RNA
Source: RNAcentral
UACGUGCCAGCAGCCGCGGUAAGACGUAGGACGCAAGCGUUAUCCGGAUUUACUGGGCGUAAAGCGCCUGUAGGCGGUCAAGUAAGUCGGAUGUGAAAGCCCCGUGCUCAACGCGGGGAAGCCAUUCGAUACUGCGUGACUAGAGAACGGCAGAGGGAAACGGAAUUUCUGGUGUAGCGGUAAAAUGCGCAGAGAUCAGAAAGAACACCGAUGGCGAAGGCAGUUUCCUAGGCCGCAUCUGACGCUGAGAGGCGAAAGCUAGGGGAGCAAACAGGAUUAGAGACCCUGGUAGUCCUAGCUGUAAACGAUGGAUGCUAGGUGUGGGCCGGAAAGGUCCGUGCCGUAGUUAACGCGAUAAGCAUCCCGCCUGGGGAGUACGGCCGCAAGGCUAAAACUCAAACGAAUUGACGGGGACCCGCACAAGCAGCGGAGCGUGUGGUUUAAUUCGAUGCUACGCGCAGAACCUUACCUGGGCUUGACAUGUAGGUGGUAGUGAAGUGAAAGCGGAGCGACCCUUCGGGGAGCCUACACAGGUGCUGCAUGGCUGUCGUCAGCUCGUGCCGUGAGGUGUCGGGUUAAGUCCCGUAACGAGCGCAACCCUUGUCCUUAGUUACAAGUGUCUAAGGAGACUGCCGGUGACAAACCGGAGGAAGGUGGGGAUGACGUCAAGUCAGCAUGGCCCUUAUGUCCAGGGCGACACACACGCUACAAUGGUCGGUACAAUGGGCAGCGCAGCCGCGAGGUGAAGCGAAUCCCAACAAAGCCGAUCCCAGUUCGGAUUGCAGGCUGCAACCCGCCUGCAUGAAGCCGGAGUU